This 476-nucleotide ribosomal RNA is filed under the name uncultured bacterium. RNAcentral describes it as "SSU rRNA". It matches the Rfam family "Bacterial small subunit ribosomal RNA", at positions 26 to 518 of the family's 1533-position model. The record is from RNAcentral.
AGGAUAAACGCUGGCGGCGUGCCUAACACAUGCAAGUCGAACGCGCUUUCGGGCUUCGGUGCGAGAGCGAGUGGCGGACGGGUGAGUAACACAUGGGUACCUACCUUGGAGUGAGGGAUACCGGCGAGAAAUCGCCGACAAUACCGCAUAGGCUUCUUCACAAGGGAAGCAAAGUGACGCGAGCCAUGCUUUGAGAUGGGCCUGUGGCCGAUUAGCUAGUUGGGGGGUAACGGCUUCCCAAGGCGACGAUCGGUAGCUGGUCUGAGAGGACGAUCAGCCACACUGGGAUUGAGAACGGCCCAGACUCCUACGGGGGGCAGCAGUGAGGAAUUUUCCGCAAUGGAGGCAACUCUGACGGAGCAAACGCCGCGUGCAGGAGGAAGGUUUUCGGAUCGUAAAACUGCUUUUCUCGGGGACGAGCGAAAGGACGGUAACCCGAGGAACGAAGCCCCGGCUAACACGUGCCAGCAAGCCGC